AUGUCGCCUGGAGUGGUGGCCAGCAUGGUGGGUGGGUGGGUGGAGGACCUGGACCCUGGGUGGCCGGCCACCUGGCCUUUCCCCCUGAGCCCCCCAGCCCCGUGGGAACCCUCAACAGCCCACCUGCAGGACAUGCGCGCCCCUCCCCAAUGCAUCCGUGGCCCUGGCCCCCCACUCCCUCCCCGUCCCUCCCUGCCUGGCCCUCGCCAGUCUCACAACUCGGAUACGGCAGCCCUGGCCUGGCCCAGCCCUGACCUGUGGCACCAGCCUCCCUCUGCAGGGCCCAGCAUCUCCACCACUGGCACACAACACCACUUGGAGACUCUCCUGGCCCCAUCCACCAGGGGACAGCAGCACCGCGUGCCCAGGAUGGCGGGGCUGCGGAACAGGUCACACGUGUGUGUCCUGAGGCCUGGCGCAUCGGGGACUGAGCAUCUCGUCCUCGGAGGGGUCCAGGCAGCCACUGGUGAGGACGCGGUGGACACCUGGAGCAGGACAGGCCAUCCAUCCGCGAUGCUCCCAGCACUCGAGCUCCCCAUCCCCAGCACGGCCGGCGGAGGAAGAAGGGCCCACUCUGGUCUCGGGUCUCGGGUCUCAGGUCCCCGUCUCCGUCAGGGGGGCCUCACCGGGCAGCCGCCCUCCCUGCCAGGGCUGCAGCUGCUCAAGCUGAGGGCGAAGGGAGCCGAGGGCCAGACCCCAAGAUGCUCCGCAUCCUCUGUCCCUCUGAAGCUGGUGUCACGGGGCAGACAAGGAGAAAGACAAGAAGGAAACCUUUGCCAUGGGACACGCCAUCAAGGACCAGAGCCCCAUCACCAUGAGGAAGCCCGGCCCAUCCCGAUGGAUGAGGCCCAACCAGGACCCAGGACAUCCCGGCUCCCUCACCCCCUGCCCCUCAGAGUCACACGCUCCCUGCCCCCUCCCGGAAUGCCCGCGGCCCCACCUCCUGCGAAUACACCACUCCUCCAGGCAUCUGCCCUGUUUGCUUCUCACAGUCCCUGGGCUGGCUCCUCCUCUGGCUUCAGGGGCCUGGCGCGACGGCAAGUCCUGGCAGUGACAAGGCUUUGAUGCAAAUAAAAGGAACUCGGAGCAGCUAAGGAAAGAGGGC
This 1105-nucleotide long non-coding RNA is filed under the name Vulpes vulpes (red fox). RNAcentral describes it as "lncRNA (ENSVVUG00000011358.1)". The record is from RNAcentral. Lineage: Eukaryota; Metazoa; Chordata; Mammalia; Carnivora; Canidae.